Molecule: ribosomal RNA, 468 nt
Filed under: uncultured bacterium
Lineage: Bacteria
Description: partial 16S ribosomal RNA
Rfam family: Bacterial small subunit ribosomal RNA
Source: RNAcentral
GAUGAACGCUGGCGGCGUGCCUAACACAUGCAAGUCGAGCGAUUUACUUCGGUAAAGAGCGGCGGACGGGUGAGUAACGCGUGGGUAACCUGCCCCGUACACACGGAUAACAUACCGAAAGGUAUGCUAAUACGAGAUAAUAUGCUUUUAUCGCAUGGUAGAAGUAUCAAAGCUUUUGCGGUACAGGAUGGACCCGCGUCUGAUUAGCUAGUUGGUAAGGUAACGGCUUACCAAGGCGACGAUCAGUAGCCGACCUGAGAGGGUGAUCGGCCACAUUGGAAAUGAGACACGGUACAAACUCCUACGGGAGGCAGCAGUGGGGAAUAUUGCACAAUGGGCGAAAGCCUGAUGCAGCAACGCCGCGUGAGCGAUGAAGGCCUUCGGGUCGUAAAGCUCUGUCCUCAAGGAAGAUAAUGACGGUACUUGAGGAGGAAGCCCCGGCUAACUACGUGCCAGCCGCCGCCGUAA